AUGGACUACUGGGGUUUCUAAUCCUGUUCGCUCCCCACGCUUUCGCGUCUCAGCGUCAGUACCGUUCCAGAGAGCCGCCUUCGCCACCGGUGUUCUUCCUAAUAUCUGCGCAUUUCACCGCUACACUAGGAAUUCCGCUCUCCCCUCCCGGACUCAAGCGAGGCAGUAUCCAGUGCAGGCUUGGGGUUGAGCCCCAAGGUUUCACACCGGACUUACCAAGCCGCCUACACGCGCUUUACGCCCAAUGAUUCCGGACAACGCUCGCCCCCUACGUAUUACCGCGGCGGCUGGCACCA
Molecule: unclassified non-coding RNA, 296 nt
Filed under: uncultured Gaiellales bacterium
Lineage: Bacteria; Bacillati; Actinomycetota; Thermoleophilia; Gaiellales
Description: contains 16S-23S intergenic spacer region
Source: RNAcentral